This 248-nucleotide ribosomal RNA is filed under the name uncultured bacterium. RNAcentral's name for it is "partial small subunit ribosomal RNA". It matches the Rfam family "Bacterial small subunit ribosomal RNA", at positions 26 to 285 of the family's 1533-position model. The record is from RNAcentral.
AGAGCGAACGCUGGCGGCAGGCCUAACACAUGCAAGUCGAGCGCCCGUAGCAAUACGGGAGCGGCAGACGGGAUAGUAACACGUGGGAACGCGCCCUUCGGUUCGGAAUAACUCAGGGAAACUUGAGCUAAUACCGGAUACGACCUCGAGCGGCAUCUCUUGAGGUGGAAAGCUCCGACGGUGAGGGAUGGGCCCGCGGCCUAUCAGCUUGUUGGUGGGGUAAUGGCCUACCAAGGCGACGACGGGUA